Molecule: ribozyme, 70 nt
Filed under: unclassified sequences
Description: pistol ribozyme
Rfam family: Pistol ribozyme
Source: RNAcentral
UCUCGACCGAGCGAGUCAAAACAGGUCUUAGGCUCGGUGCGUCACCGCUCACCACGAGCGGUGGGUGACU